This 428-nucleotide ribosomal RNA is filed under the name uncultured bacterium. RNAcentral's name for it is "partial 16S ribosomal RNA". It matches the Rfam family "Bacterial small subunit ribosomal RNA", at positions 354 to 796 of the family's 1533-position model. The record is from RNAcentral.
GUGGGGAAUAUUGGGCAAUGGGCGCAAGCCUGACCCAGCAACGCCGCGUGAGGGAAGAAGGCUUUCGGGUUGUAAACCUCUGUCCUUGGUGACGAAACAAAUGACGGUAGCCAAGGAGGAAGCCCCGGCUAACUACGUGCCAGCAGCCGCGGUAAUACGUAGGGGGCGAGCGUUGUCCGGAAUUACUGGGCGUAACGGGUGCGUAGGUGGCCUUUUAAGUUGGAUGUGAAAUACCCGGGCUUAACGUGGGGGGUGCAUCCAAAACUGGGAGGCUAGAGUGCAGGAGAGGAAGGCGGAAUUCCUAGUGUAGCGGUGAAAUGCGUAGAUAUUAGGAGGAACACCAGUGGCGAAGGCGGCUUUCUGGACUGUAACUGACACUGGGGCACGAAAGCGUGGGGAGCAAACAGGAUUAGAAACCCCAGUAGUCC